This 84-nucleotide ribosomal RNA is filed under the name Megasphaera micronuciformis. RNAcentral's name for it is "partial 23S ribosomal RNA". It matches the Rfam family "Bacterial large subunit ribosomal RNA", at positions 513 to 598 of the family's 2925-position model. The record is from RNAcentral. Lineage: Bacteria; Bacillati; Bacillota; Negativicutes; Veillonellales; Veillonellaceae.
GGUGAAAAGAACCCCGGGAGGGGAGUGAAAUAGAUCCUGAAAUUUAGUGCCUACAAGGAGUCGGAGCCGGCUUGUCCGGUGCCG